AAUUUCUCAGACAAUGAGGAGGUUGGCUUAGAAGCAGCCAUCCUUUAAAGAAAGCGUAACAGCUCACUCAUUCAGAGAUCUUGCGCCGCAGAUGAUCGGGGUUAAGUAUAGUACCGAAGGUGCGGGCCCAGCUCCACUUUUGUUUAUGACUUGUUGUACAUCAUAUCGUCUUCCAAGAUGUUAUAUAUGUAUGAACAAAAAGUCAUGAGUAAAAGUGGGGCUGGGCGGUAGGAGAGCGUUCCUGUCCGCGAUGAAGCCCAAGCGUGAGCUUUUGGGUGGAGCGUCAGGAAGUGAGAAUGUUGGCACAAGUAACCGCAAGGAAGGUGAAAUCCCUUCCCGCCGAAAUACCGAGGUUUCCUUCGCAAUGUUAAUCAACGAAGGGUUAGUCGGGCCUAAGGAGAUGGUGAAAACCGUAUCCGAUGGACACAUGGUUAAUAUUCCAUGACCCGCAUGCGUUCCGAUGGAGUGACGGAGCGUUGUACUGUGAGCAAAUAAUCGGAUUUUUGUCCGUGCCGUGAGGAUGGUUCCAUAGGUAAAUCCGGGAACCGCUAGUCCAAGCGGAGCGGAAAUUCUGCGGUUCGCCGUAGGAGAUUCACAGGAGCACGCUUCCAAGAAAAACUUCUCAGGUUAAACGUAUGCGGACCGUACCGCAAACCGACACAGGUGGUAGAGUCGAGAAGACUAAGGCGAACGAGUGAUAAUUCCCCAAGGAACUCGGCAAAAAAGCAGCCGUAACUUCGGAAUAAGGCUUUCCAGCUCUUUCUUCGGAAAGGGCUGGAUGCAGCGAAAGUAUCUCUGGCGACUGUUUAUCAAAAACACAGCUCCCUGCGAACUCGCAAGAGGAUGUAUAGGGGGUGACGCCUGACCAAUGCCGGAAGGUCAAACAUGGAUGGUCCAAGGGACGCAAGUUUUUUGGGCUGGGCUAUGUAAGCCCCGGUGAAUGUCGGCCGUAACUAUAACGGUCCUAAGGUAGCGAAAUUCCUUGUCUGGUAAGUUCAGACCCGCACGAAUGGCGCAACGAUCAGAGAACUGUCUCGGGGAACAGCUCGGUGAAAAUACAGUACCGGUGAAGAUGCCGGUUACCUACAGCUAGACGAAAAGACCCCAGGAGCUUUACUGCAACUUCAUAUUGGGUAUGUGCUCUUACUGCGUAGAAUAGGUGGGAGGCUUUGAAGCGGUUCUUUUGGGAGCCGUGGAGCCGACAGUGAAAUACCACUCUGUAAGGGGGCAUAUUCUAACCCGUACGGCAAAACCGUGCGGAGACAGUGUGUGGUGGGUAGUUUGAGUGGGGCGCUCUCCUUCGGGAUGGCAUAUGUGUAAACAUAUGGUAUCCCGAAACAGGAGCGCCUCCGAGGUAUCAUCCGGUACCUGAAACAAAUAAAUGAGGGGGACGCCAUACGGUAACGUAUGUGUCGUGAACCAAGCUAUAUGCCGGAAUAUCCGAGUAUCUUUUGUGUCGUUCUUCUCAUUAUGAAGAGAACGGAACAGUACAAAAGUGCGGACAAUCGGCAGGGAAGAUGUAUAUGACAACAUGUCUACAUCCCCUCAGAGGCCAUACGCUUGGAUUCCUUGUUAAACAAGGAAUAAGAGAUGGUCCGAUCUUCAUGGCGACAUGGAGUGUAUAUCAACCCGUUGAUAUACGGCCACUAUUCAUACUAGUGGUACCAGUAUGCCUAAACUGUAACGGAGGAGUCUAAAGGUUGGCUAGGCGCGAAUGGACACCGUGCCGAUAGUGUAAUGGCACAAGCCAGCUUGAUUGCGAGGCGUACAUGCCGAGCAGGUGCGAAAGCAGAGCAUAGUGAACCGAUGGUUCGCUUUAGACGCGGCCAGAGAUUAACGGAUAAAAGCUACCCUGGGGAUAACAGGCUAGUUCCGCCUAAGCGUUCAGAGCGACGGCGGAGUUCGGCACCUCGAUGUCGGCUCAACUUAUCCCGGGGCUGGAGAAGGUCCCAAGGGUUUGGCUGUUCGCCAAUUAAAAAGUUACGCGAGCUGGGUUCAGACCGUUCAGGGGCGUAUGAUAUGCGUAUGCAUGUCAUAGGCCUCUGAACCAAUCUGAACCCGAGGAAGACAUCAAUACGGCGGCAUCAUAUAGCAAUAUAUGAUGAGAAGUUAACUGAUAUCGGUGAAAUCCUUUUCACAUGACCAGAAAAGGACAAUACCGAGGGAAUUAUAUUGUUUACAAUAUAUGCCCGUAGAGACUGCACGUUAACCGCCCAGCUUCAUUUUUAUCGCAAGGUGAGAGUGAAUAAACCAUGUUAAAAAGUGGUGCUGGGAUGAAGAUAUAGUCCGAUCCCGUUGGUAACAGCGGUGUCAUUCAUAAAAUCAUAUAAAGUAUCUAUGAAUGGCUACAUCAUGCGUAAGACAGGUUGGUCUCCUAUCUGCUGUAGGCGUUGAUUCUUGAGAAGAUCCGUUCGUAGUACGAGAGGACCCGAAUGGACUAACCUCUGGUGUACCGGUUGUUCCGCCAGGAGCACGGCCGGGUAGCUAUGUUGGGAAUGGAUAACCUCUGAAAGCAUCUAAGAGGGAAGCCAACUUCAAGAUGAGGAAUCGUUUGAAACUCCUCAGAGAUGAUGAGGUUGAUAGGCACCAGGUGGAAGCGCAGUGAUGCGUUGAGCCGAGGUGUACUAAUGCGUUGACGCGUU
Molecule: ribosomal RNA, 2642 nt
Filed under: Candidatus Yonathbacteria bacterium
Lineage: Bacteria; Candidatus Yonathiibacteriota
Description: partial 23S ribosomal RNA
Rfam family: Bacterial large subunit ribosomal RNA
Source: RNAcentral